Molecule: long non-coding RNA, 14220 nt
Filed under: Sorghum bicolor (sorghum)
Lineage: Eukaryota; Viridiplantae; Streptophyta; Magnoliopsida; Poales; Poaceae
Description: long non-coding RNA (SBIC_LNC001728)
Source: RNAcentral
UGUGAGGCUUCAGCCAACACACCCUAACGCCCCGCUGCCCGCACAUGCACCCCGCUGCCCGCAUACCCCACCCACGCGGUGCCCGCACACCUCUCCCUCUCUCUCUCUCUCUCUCUCUCUCUCUCUCUCUCUCUCUCUCUCUCUCUCCGACGAGCACCUUCUCCCUACACUUGCGCCGGCAGCACACUGCCUCCCCACGCUUGCACCCGCACCCCACUGCCUCCCCCACGCUUGCACACCCCAGCCAUGGCGAAUAGGGUGGCGGAGGCGGCGGAUUUGACGGAUCCGGAUGCGGCGACGGUGGCGACAACGGAUUAGGAUGCGACGGCGGUGGAUCUGGCGACAGUGGCGGUGGAUCCGGUGGAUCCAACUAUGGUGGCAGUAGAUCCACGCCAGGUAGGCCUCCUCUAUCGUCUCUUCCAACUCCGACAAGCUCUCAAUUGUUAGCAUAUUUGAAGAGUUGGUUUUUCUAGAUGCAUAGUUUUUAUUAUCAGAAAUGCUAAAAUGAAAACACACAGGAUGGAAGGCUUCAGCUAGCACACCCCAGCACACACUGACGCCCGCAGCCUGCACACCUCGCUGCCCGCAUACCCCACCAACACGAUGCCUGCACACCUCUCUCACACUCUCUCCGACGAGCACCUUCCCGGCAACCUCCUCCUCAUGCUGGCGCCACACCGCCUCCCCACGCUUGCGUCCGCAACCCACUGCCUCCCCCACGCUCGCACUCACGCCAGCCAUGGUAGAUGCGGCGGCAGAGGCGGCGGAUCUCACGGAUCUGGAUGCGGUGACAACGACGGCAGCGGUGGAUCCGGUGGAUCUGGCUAUGGUGGCGACCGAUCCGGUGGAUCCGGCUACGGUGGCAAUGGAUCCGCGCCAGGUAGGUCUCCUCCCCUUAGAUCUUAUAUCUAGGGUUCUAGUGAGCUCUGCCUGUCAUCUCUUCCAACUUCGGCGGGCUAUAGAAUGGCCGAAUAGGGGAAGCAGGUAGGCCAGGCAGUGGGGAAUGCUGGCGGGUAAUUUAGGGGAGCUGGCAACUGUAGUGGGGACUGGUUGGGCCAGGUCUGGCGGGGGAGCUCCGACCAUGGUUGCAGCGGGAGGGAGGGAGGGAGGGAAAGGAGAUGGUCGCGACCAUGGAGCUUCAGUGAAACCCUAGCUCACAGCCAAGUGGUGCCGGUAGCAGGGGUGAGGGCACCGAAUUGGAGGAAGAAGAGGUGUUGUACGUGUUUUUUUUGCAACUAAAAACUAUUGCGAAGGGGUGAAUGCGGAAGUUGCAAAUCCUGCACAUGCACGCCGUAGCAGCGCUCUUUUAUUUUAUAUCUAGACAUAAUAUAUAUCUAGAUGUAUAGAAAAAAAAAAUAGAUAUCUAUAAAUGACAGAACGAGUUAAAACUUGGAAUGAAGAAGGUAUUUCAAAAGAAUCCAUGCUUCUUAGGAGAGGGUCCUAAAAUUUACAUGGCUAGUCUGUUCAUUGGUCUGAAAAUAUUGUUUGCUGAUUUAUUGUAAGAGAAAAACAUUAUUGGUUGACAGAAAAAAUAUGACUGAUAAGAUAAGCGAACGGGUAGAGCUCAUAUGUUAGCCAAGUAGGUCACGGGUGAUGCAACGCCCGAGUGGUGGCAAGAGUGCUCGUAUAACCUGAUGGCUGCAGAAUGUAACCCCGUAUCUACUUAAUGGAUGAAUCCCCGAGGUUCAAAACAAAAAGAAAUUAACAUCGCCAACAGCCAACAGAGUAUCAUGAUGUAGACAUAAUAACUAUAGAAGUAAACGACCACGAUGCAUAUUGCGCGUAGAAGUAAUUUGUACGGUUCUCUUCAACUCGCACGUCAAGUUUAUUUAGCCUUUUGCAUCACUGCCAUCCAUGUCUGGAUCAUUAACUCACCCACGCAUGUAUACGUAUGUCCUUGCAUCAUCACUGGAUGGAUGAUCAUGUUCCCCUCAAACGUGGGCCAAUAGGCCUUACUAAACCUCUCCCUCUCGAUGAUGAUGAUUCUUUCCUUGACUACCAAGGCCUUGUUUAGUUCCGAAAAGUGAAAACUUUUCGGAACUGUAGCACUUUCGUUUGUUUGUGACCAAUAUUAUCUAAUUAUAGACUAACUAGGAUCAAAAGAUUCGUCUUGUGAUUUACAGCUAAACUGUGUAAUUAGUUUUUAUUUUCGUCUAUAUUUAAUGUUUAAUGCAUGUGCCACAAGAUUCGAUGUGACGGGGAAUCUUGAAAACUUUUUGGUUUUUGGGGUGAACUAAACAAGGCCCAAGGAGAUAGUCCGGUUGUGCUUGUGCACGACGACCUCGGUCAAAAAGUCCAAGAUCCAUGCGGCGGUUGGCCCCACUGCCCAUGCAUGUGGCGCCAAGAUUAUCGCUGCGAGGAAAGAUCGGGCCGGCGGGCCGCCGCGGUGAAGAAACGCGACGACUUUUCGCAACGUCUCGUCACCCCGAACGUCACCGGGAACGGAUCCUCUGCGGCGUCCGUCGGCAGCCUCCCGGGCGCUCUGCCGCCUGCGGCGUGCGCAGCGGAUCCCAGUCUGACUCGGGAACGAAAACGUGCAACUCCCUAGGUCUCCUCUCCUUCUGCUUAACCGCCACUCAUGGUCAAGGCUGGGACCUGGCGCGGGGCGACUGUGCUCUGCUCGGUGCGUGCAUGCACCUGAAUCCUGGGACUGUUGUGGAUAAUCUUCGCUUUCACAUUUGCUUCCCAUCAGUGCCAAGAAAAAUGAUUCGCCUUCUAUAGAAUAAAAAAAGGGCGAAUUUCCAGCACGGAAUUUUCUCAGACCAUCAGUAAAAAGAGGGCCAAUAUUACCAACAACGAUGACAGAAGUAGCAAACGACGUGGCUGGUUCUGUAUAGGUACGUGGCUGGUUCUGUAUAGGUAGUAGCUAGGGGAAUCGCAUCUGUUGCUAGAUUUCAUUUAAGUGGUCUCAGAUAAAAACGCAACAGAGAGGAAAAGUGCGAACGGCACAAAGCGCCCCGGCACGCCCGCUUGCGCAUGGAUGGACGGAUAGGGAACUAGAGCAACAGCGACCUCACGGGCGCCCACUUGCAUGCCCGCGCGGAAUAUGUGACGGGCGGGCGGGGGACGGCCACGCCCGGGUGCCCUGAUCACCUGACGAGGCGCCGCAGCCCUUUCCGUCGCGAAACGCCGCGCGCGCCGCGGGGCGGGGCGGGGGAGCAUAUCUCCAUUCUCCGACACGAGACGCGGCCGCCCGUGGGGAACGAACCUCAGCCACGCGCGACGGGAGGGUGAGGUUUUGCGUGCGUCGCGAGCGCUCACACGAGUCGCGGGCUCCGCGCGGCACCCGAUCCUCUCCUCCGGACGUCCUCCCAGCCACCGAAAAAGAAAAAGAAGACGGUCGUGCGCGGUGCGCCGCGCGGCAGCCGGCAGAAACGUCCUAUCCUCACGCGGAGAUUUGUUCGCCUGGUGAGGUGCAGGAGCAACCACGCCGAAAUGUAAAAUGUGGGGCACGCGACAAAGGUGUGUGUGCGUGUCUGUAGAAUGCGGGGCAUGUGGCACGGCGUGUGCGUGUGUGUUGCUGAGCUUUUGUGUCUAGACAGUAGCCAUGAAUACAUCUUUAGCGUAGAUUUCUCUACUUCCUCUUAUGAAAAGAGCAACUUUUCGAUCGAUUUUGCGUUCACGCAAGCAAGUAUAACCAUUGCUUUUAAUAUAGAUCUCUUCGUUUUCUCUCAUGAAACGGAGCAACUUUUCGAUCAGUUUUGCACUCGUGCGAGCAAGUAGAAUUAUUACUAUUAAGGUAGAUUUUCCCACCUUUUACGAAAAGUGAGCAACUUUCAAUCAAUUUUAUGUUCACACGAGCAAGUGUAACCGUUGCUUUUAGGGUUUUAGUAUUGUGGCUUGUUACAUCUGAAGCAACCAUAUAUGGGAGAAUCAAUUGUAGCCUAGCAAUUAUGGUGUCCGGACAGAUCGAUGCUAAAACCACACAACAUGACCAUGUUUGGCCAUCCCAUAUAGCAAGAUUUCCUAUGCAAGUGUUAAUUGUCAACAUAAUGGAAAAGUUGGUUUUUUCAAGAUGCAUAUAGCUUUUAUUAUAUGCUCAAUGGUGCACCGCAUAAUUUAUAUUAACAUUCUCAAACCACAUUCUUUUAGCUUGGCUAACGUCUCUGGGCAUUGCCUUUUUUGGUUGCUUUCGAUGAGGAAACCUUUUUCUCGUCAUGGCACGGCAGAGCAGACGAGGCUAUAUAUGUUGUGUUGCCUUGACCCGAACGAAUAUAAUCGGCAGAUAUUCGUCAGCCAUAUGCUCUUGCUACAUCGGUGAUGGCACAACUUGUUGAUCAUGACAGAGCACAACACGAGAAUCGUGGCCACACGAUUAGAGGGAGAUUUGCGUGUGCCGUGCACGCCAACCUGAGUCGCAACACAAUAUCCUAUCCUCUGGUCGGUCAAAACGACCUAUCGCCGCCACACAUAGGUUCCCCUUGUAAAGGAGCAAACCCACCAAAAUGCAAGAUGAGGGGCAUGGACAAGGUGUGUGUGUGUGUGCACAUUGCUCCAUGUUGCGUGUGUUACACACACGUCAUGCCAUGCAAUCUACAACAACAUUCUAAAACUGCCUUCUUUUAGCUUGGUUAACGCAAGAGGCAUUGUCUUUUCUGGUUACUUUCGGUAACUUUUUCUUGUUGUGGCAGGGUAGAGUACGCGAGGUUGUGUUGCCUUGCCCUAAUCGAAUCUAAUCGGUAGAUAUUUGUUUGGCUCUUCGCUUAUAGGAGGGCAGGGGGUGUGCAUGAUGCUAGGCCACACACAUCAUGUCGUGCAACGUGUAGUAACAUUUCACCCUGGACAUUGCCUUUUCUACUUGCUUUUGGGAAUCUUUUUCUUCUUGUUUCAUGGCAGAGCACGUAGGCUGUGUUGUCGUGCCCCAGAAGGUUUGGAUCUAGGCGAGCUAGACUAUUAAAGGAAAGGAAAUGCAUGAGCCACACGAUAUCACCAUACUCUGAAAACAGCACUAGGGGAAAAAGAAAAGAGAAAUUAAUUGGAAGGUUAGAGCCAAAGAGAUAACAUAAAGUGGUUGGUGAGACACACAGAAGUAGGCAACACGCAUCCAUGAUAUCCCUCCAACCCAAACAAAUCAUUCAUGAAAACCCUACAACAAUAGGAGCAGCAAUAGGCAAACGCUGCAAUGUCCUAGGGAACAGCCACCUAGCUCUAGCCGCCAGUGCUUGAGGGCUUCAUGGCAUAUGAUACCGCUAUGGCGGAGGUCUCCUCACGGGACUGAGCGAGAGCAUCACAUCCACGAGCAAGUCAUGAGCGAAGCACAUAUGAGGACUCCAUCACCUUGGGAUCCUCAUCCCCACGUUCGGUGAAUGCCUAGUCCCCUGUGCAUGAGCUGGUCUUGCCCCUGCAGCCCCAGUGCUGGUAGCAGUGGAGAUGGAAGAGAUAAGAAAGAGAUGUCAGUAAGCUAGAGGAAGCCAAAGCACUAAGGCUCGAUCGUCGAGAAGAAUGUAAUAUAUAGAUAUUCAUAUAGCUUUACGCUUGGUCUGGGAGCAACCUCGCCAAAAUGUAAAAUGCGAGGCAUGGAUAGGACAUGUGCAUGUUGCUAGGCCAUGCGUGUUGUGUCGUGUAAUCUAUAGUAACAUUCUAAAACCAUCUCUUUUAGCUUGGCUAAUGUCCUCUAGCACUACCUUUUCUACUAGCUUUCGGCUAGGAAACCUUUUCUCGUCAUGGCAGGCAAAGCAUACCAGGCUAUUUUGUGUUGCCUUGACCUAGACGAAUGUAAUUGGCAGAUAUUCGUUAGUCAUAUGUUCCGGCUAUAUCUGUAACUACACAACUUGUUGAUCAUAGAGUACAAUAGAAGAAUCAUGGCCACGUGCUUGGAUGGGAGAUUUGCGUGCGUCGCGCGUGCCUACCCGAGUUGUGGCAUGCUAUCCUCUCCUCCGGUCCUCCCCACCACUAAAAAAGAAAAUCAUCUUGCAUGGUGUGACGUGCAGCUAAAAUGACCUAUCACCAUGCAUAGGUUUGCCUGGUGCAGGAGCAAAUGUGCUGAAAUGUAAAACAUGGGGCAUGGGACAAGGCGUGUUUGUUUGUGUGUGUGUGUGUGUGACGCACACUGUACCAUGCUUCAUGUGUGUGAUACACACAUCGCGCCAUGCAAUCUGCAACAACAUUCUUAAACCGCCUUCUUUUAGCUUGGUUAACGCCCUGGGGCAUUGUCUUUUCUAGUUGCCAUUGGUAACUUUUCUCGUUGUGGCAGCAUAGAGUAGGUGAGGUUGUGUUGCUAUGCCCUAAACGAGUGUAAUCGAAAGAUAUUUGUCUCACUCUCCACUUGGUGCAGGAGGGUUGGACAUGUGCGUCAUGCUAGGCCACGCACGUCUUGUUGUGCAAUCUAUAGAAACAUUUUCAAACCGCCUUAUUUUAGCCUGGCUAACACCCCCUGGACAUUGCCUUGGCUAACUGUAACACCCUGGCUUUUAAAAUAAGACCAGAUUCGUCAUAUGUGUGCCCAGGAAGUCCACACAUAUAACAAAAGAAUAGAAAUAUCAGAAACAAUGUUAUAUAUAGCGGAAAACAUAUUUAUAUUAACACUUACAAACAUCAGAGUACGCGGAAACAGUAGCUAAAACUUCUUAGGCUCCAUUCUUCUCAGGGACGGUUGACUGGGGGCUCCGUACGCCAAGCACUUCUCAUAAGCUUCUAGAAAACUCCAUAGCAUCUUUAUCCCUCUUCUGAGCAGCACUUUACUACACACUGAGGUGUGGGGGGGAAAUAGCAAGGGUGAGUUCAUGUCGAACUCAACAAGUACAGGCGGAAAGUAUAAUGACAUGCAAGGCUUAAUCAAAGGAAAAGCUGACAUUGUUUAACUGCAGGUGAGCUUUUUAAGUGAACAAGCUUUUAUUACAACUUCUAUCAUUAAAACAACCUAUUACUAAAUAUGGGUAAAGCAUCCCAACCCUUAAUUAGAUGGAAGUAGAUUAACCAUUUUAUUAAUCAUCAUCAUUAUUAUUAAUAUUAUUACCGAGGUAGCAACCUCAGAUAGUAACUCGGGGUAGCAACCCCAUUAAGGUCAUGGGAUAGCAAUCCCAAUUAAGAACACAGGAUAGCAAUCCUGCCAACACGGAAUAGCCAUUCCGCCAAAGCACGAGGUAUCAACCUCAACCAAGUUCCGCCUCCAAGUUCCAUGUGAUUCCAAUUUGCUCAUCAAGUGAGGGUCUGGGCCGCUCGUGACCGUGAGCACGGCUGAUAUAUCAGUUUUACACUCUGCAGAGGUGUGCACGUUCACUCCAAGUCGUGAUUCCCAUUCGCCUGGGGUCGCGACUCCCCAAAACACUACCAAGGUGAGCAGGCAGGGUCUCACUACGAGACCUUUCACAGGGUCCAACUAAUAGGAUGUCACUCGUAAGUUUUUGCCGGGGCGCGCGGCAGCCGUGCCCAUAGCAAUGGGACCCCGAACUGACCGACCUCUUAAUAUGAAUACCCAAGCUACAUUCCUUACGCCUACCCAGAAAGUAACACCCUACCAGCGGAGGUCCUGAUAAUUAGUCAAGCCAGAGCCAUAUAGCUUGGAGCUGCACUGUAAGUCCCAGGGGGCCGCUCCCUGACUAAGUCCUUACGGAGAGCAGAGACGGGUACGCCCGGCAAACCGGACCACCAACAGUACCCGCUCCCCCUGUCCUCAACCAAACCACGAUGCUCGCAGGCACCGCAACAUCUCCAUCACCGAAGUGACCAUUGUUCACCAUUUAAUCAUUUAUCAUCAUUGAAGAAUUCAUUAAACAAGAUCAUUAUUAUUAUUAUUAUUAUAUAGAUUAGAUGAGUAGAGCAACUAAGCAUAUCUACUGUUCACUAUACUACCCAUAUAUAAACCCAGGUAUACAAGGAAUAUAGUAGAAGACUAGUCAUGUCCUUAGGGUUUGCAGUAUUAAGACACAUACAAUGGAAAGUAAAUGUAUUUAAAGUUUAUAGGUACAAUAUGAUCAAAGGGUGCCUGCACUUGCCUUAAUUCCCAGUGUUUAUCUGCUCAGAAUUCUUUGGCUUCUUUCUUCUGAUCUCCAACUUCUGCUUCGAUUAUCGGUCCUCAGCGCCUGAUCUUCAAUGCUGACGAACCACGCUUCUUCUACUCGUAGCAACCAAGCAACACAAACAGACAAACAAAUAAUCAUGACUAAGAACAAGCAUCAAUCAAAAGAAAAGCUUAGAAAGAGCGCACUAAACGACACGACUUAUUGCUACGAUCGUGACAACGCAAGAACGAUUGAGAACGGAGCUAUCGUUAAACGGACACGACUUUCGAGGUUCGGAGUGUAACGGAGAAGACGACUAUACGCUGGUCGUAUUUUAUUUAAUAAAAGAAGGUGAUAGACUUUUAGAGAAAUAUCUCAAAGUUGAAUUGACCAAAUUAUAAAGAAUUAUAAAAGAUGGAGUUAAACUUUAGUCAUAUUUUAAUUGUAGAUGGUUAUAUAUCAUUUAAGCCAUUUACGCCUUUGUAAUUUUAGAAAACAUAAAGCAAGUAAGAGCAGCUAAUCAAAUCCUAACAUGCGUCGCAUGUAUAUUAAACAAGUUAUAACUAAUAAAGAACCAUUUAAGUUGAUAUUAAUAAUGUUAACAUUUAUUUAUUUAUAAAAGAUCUAAAUUAUAAACAUAGGUUACUUUUAAUCCAAAAAGACAUUAAAUAAAUAUUAAACAAAUUAAUUAUAUACUUUAUGUCUAACUAAAAGAAUUAUAAUUAAUAAAUAUUUAAGUUAACUUCAAUCAAGUUAAUAUUAGAUUAUAAAAAUAGCGAAGUGUAAACUUAGAUUGUUUUUUUGUUAAUUAAAAAUGACAUUCAAAAAAUAUUAAUUAAACUAAUUAUAUUUAUAAACAUGGGACAUGGAAAACAGUAUCGCUAAUAAGUCAUUUACGUUGCCAUGGUCAUAAAACAAUAGAAAACAUGAUUAUAACUCUAUAUUGCUUUUAAUUAUAAAAUUAGGUGCAUAUAUUAAUUAAUCUAAUAUUCAAUUAAAUAUGGAAAAAAAUAUAUGACAUAAUAAAAGUUAGCACUACUGCGUAGAGCGCGACGUUACGAAACUAACGCAAUUGAAACGGAAUGAAACAGAGUUAGAACGAUUGAAUGGCGAAGGAUUAAUGACCAGUGGCAAACUUGUAAUUACUUUCAUCUUCUACCUUGAGAUUUUGUACGGACCGAACCAGGACAACAUGCUGCUCGUGCUGUGCGUGGGAAGGAAGGGCUCGGUCGGACCUUGGCCGCCUGGUGCGCGGCGUGCAGCUGCAGCGCGGAGGAGCCCACGGGUCACGGCUGGGACCUGCUCGAGCCGUAGCAAGUGGGGGAGGGCACGAGGCCUCGCCCUGCUCGAGCGAGCACAAGGACGGUGCGCUGGCGGCGCCGACGCAGGACACGGCGUCACACUGGCCAGGGCGCCGGUGGCCGGUGGCGUGUGAUCAGGACAAGCCGAGGAAGGGCCCUAAAUGCCGAAGAACGCAGGAAAAACAAGGUCGAUCUCACCAGCAAUGGAGGUUUCUCGCCGGAGAUGAAACUGGAAGAUGGGAACUAGUCAAACGAUAAUGGAUUCGCCCAAAAAGAAAUACUACAGUGAAGAGAAUGACAAGGGCUACCUCUUCAUGGUGAUGGCUAACGCCGGGACGCCAUGGUUUUGCCGGAAAAACUCACCGGAGAGUUCGCCGGAAACCUAGCUUUUGCAAACUUCGGCGAGAGAUGGAGGGAGCUACGGGUGGCGGCUCGCGAUGGGAUUUUUAGAUCUGUGAUCAGCGUGACGAGACGAACACCGGCAUAUAUAUAGGUCUAGGGUUUGGAAAAGUUUCAAAAAUUAUUAAUUACGGGAUUUUUAGAAAUUCAUUUUUAGUUCAAAAUAAUUCCAGAAAAAGCUGAAAUCAUUUUAAAGCCCUGAAAAAUAUUUCCAAAAUUCUAAAAAUUAAAGGAAAACUUUUAGAGAUAUAUUGAGAGUUGAUCAAUCCAAAAAAAGUUUUUGGUGUCCAUGAAAAAGAAUUUUAGAGCAUAUAAAAAAAGAUUUUGUUCUAGGAAAAUGGGAAAAAGUUCUGAAAAAGUUUUGGAAAAUUCUCGGGAAGGAUCGGACGGCGUCUAAACGUAUUUGUAAAAUCUUAGCAUGCACAAAAACAACAAACCCAAGUAAAAACUAGAGCACAAAGCACACAAUAACAAAACAAAACGCCCUUCACUUUUCUUUACAAAAAUUUUAGAAUUUCACAUUUUUCUCAUUUUAUAAUGACAAUAAUUAAUAAAAUAAAUCUUGUAAUAUUUUUAAAAAAAUUUUAAAUCCUUAUUUAAUUUAGUGUUUUCUAAUAACAAUCCAAAAUUAGAAAAUUUUGGAGUGUUAUACUAACACCCCCUUGACAUUGCCUUUUCUACUUACUUUCCAGAAGCUUUUUCUUGUUGUGGCAUGCCAGAGCACACAAGGUUGUGUUAUCGUGUCCCAGAAGGUUUGGAUUUAGCCGAGCUAGACUAUUAAACAAAAGGAAAUGCAUGAGGCACACAACGUCACCAUACUCUGAAAAGGUCGUAGGGGUAAAAAAGGGAAAUUAAUUGGGAGGUUAGAGCCAAAGAGAUAACAUAAAAGUGAGGCUGAUCAGUGAGGCAGGCAGAAAUAGCCAACAUGCAUUCAUGCCAUCCCUCCAACCCAGAUAAAUCAUUCAUGAAAACCCUACAGCAACAGAUGCAACGACUAGUGAACGCUACAUCCCAGGGAACAGCCACCUGGCUCCAGUCCCCAACGCUCGAGUGUUUCAUGGCAUUUGAUAUUGCCAUGGUGGAGGUCCUUGUGGGACUGAGUGAGAGCAUCACAUCUAUGGGCGACCACGACGCAUCUAAGGCCUCAGUUGCCUUGGGAUCCUCAUCCCUGCAUUCGGUGAACGCCCAACCCCCUGAGCAUGAGCUGGUCUUGUCUCGCAACCCUAGUACCGGUGGUGAUGGAGAUGAGGAAGAGGACAAGCAAGAUGUGUAAGAUAGAGGAAGCCAAAGCACUAUCGCAUGAUUGUUAAGAAAAAUGUAAUCAAUAGAUAUAUUCAUCUAGCUCUUUGUCUGGUCCAGCCGCACCGAAAUGUAAAAUGUGGAGGGCACAGAUAGGGCGUGUACGUGUGGGUGUUGCUAGGCCAUGCGCGUCGCACCAUGUAAUCUAUAGUAAUAUUCCAAACCCGUCUCUUUUAGUAUGGAUAAUGCUCUUCUGGCAUUGCCUGUUCUACUUGCUUUCGGAACCCUAUUCCUCGUGGUAGCAGGAUAGAGCAAGUGAGGCUGUGUUGCCUUGCCCUAGACUAAUGUAAUCACAGACAUUCUUUUGUCUCUCUGCCUAGUGCAGGAACAACUGCGCCGAAAUAUUGUAAAAUAUGGGGCACGAGGUAGGGCGUGUGAGUGUCAUGGGCCACGCGUGCCGUGACAAAAUGUAAAAUGUGGGGCACUGGGCAGGGCAUGUGCUUGUUGUAGGCUACACAUGCCGCGUCGUGCCGUGCAAAUUACAUUGACAUCCUAAAACCAUCUUAUUUUAGUUUAGCUAACGCCUCCAAAAUUGCCUUUUCUAAUUGCUUUCGGCAACUUUUUUUCUUGCGGCAGGGUAGAGCAGCUGAGGCUCUGUUGCCUUGCCCCGAAUGAAUAUAAUCGGUAGACAUUCGUCAGGCAUAUGCUGCGGCUGCAACGGUAGCGGCUCAGAUUGUUGAUCAUGAUAGAGUACAUGAAACCUUGGCUUGUUUAGUUCCAAAAAAAUUACAAAAUAGACACGGUAGUACUUUCGUUGUAUUUGACAAAUAUUGUUCAAUCAUGGACUAACUAGGCUCAAAAGAUUUAUCUCGCAAAUUAUAUGCAAACUAUGCAAUUAGUUAUUAUUUUUAUCUAUAUUUAAUGUUUCAUGCAUGCGUCGCAAGAUUCAAUGCGAUGAGAAAUCUGAAAUUUUUUAUAAUUUUUUUUGAACUAAACAAGGCCUUGUGUUCACGAUCAACAAGAAACCAGAGCACGAACAUGCCGUUGUUUGUUGCUGCUUUGGUCGUUAAGAUUGAGCAAGUUGCUCAACGGUCUCAGCAUGUAGCCACGUACUCCUACAUAGCACAGCAGUGACAAAGCAUGGGGUUCACGCACACGGUACAGUCAGCGUGCAGCUACUAGUAGCUUGCCACGAAAGAAACACAGAUGGUUUCGUCCCCAGAUACAUUUUGGUCAUGCUUCACGCACAUGUAAUGCAACCAGACGGUUCUUCGUUGAAACUUCCUCCGCCGCAGGCAGACACGUAUAUAUAGGAACGCAAACACUAGCGGCCACACCACAACCUCCUCGCUAUCGCUAGUCGCUCCAUCACCGUUCGCCAAAGAGCCCCAGGACAUCCUCCGGUCUCCACUGCUCGAGCGCGCCGGCGCCGCACGCAUGGCUGCCUGUGUCGACAAGUGGCAACCCACGCACGCCGGCCGCCUCUCCGGCGCCAUCUACCGCUUCUUGCCGGACGGCGCCACGGACCGCGCGGUGACCACCGCUGCGCCGGCGUCCGCGAGCGGCGGCGACGACGACGUCUGGGAGGAGCUGCGCGCGGAGGCGCAGGCCGACGCGGACGCCGAGCCGCUCCUGCGCAAGUUCUACGGCGACCUCGUGCUGACGCGCCAGUCGCUGGAGGCCGCCCUCGCGGCGCACCUGUCGGCCAAGCUCUGCAUCCCCGGCGUGCUGCCGCAGGACGCGCUGCGGGACCUCCUGGCCGCCGCGCUGGCCGCGCACCCGGACGCCGGCCGCGCCACGCGCGCCGACCUCCGGGCGGCGCGCGACCGCGACGCGGCCUGCGAACGGAUGGUGCACUGCUUCCUCUACUACAAGGGCUUCCUCGCCCUGCAGGCGCACCGCGCCGCGCACGGGCUCUGGUCCGAUGGCCGCUCGGCCGCCGCGCUCCUCCUUCAGAGCCGGGCGUCCGAGGUGUUCGGCGUCGACAUCCACCCCGGCGCGCGCAUUGGCUCGGGCAUCCUGUUCGACCACGCCACGGGCAUCGUCAUCGGCGAGACGGCCGUCGUCGGGAACGACGUCUCCAUCCUGCACGGCGUCACGCUCGGAGGCACGGGGAAGGAGUCCGGCGACCGGCACCCCAAGGUCGGGGAUGGGGUGCUGAUCGGCGCCGGCGCCAGCGUGCUCGGCAAUGUGCGGAUUGGAGCCGGGGCGAAGAUCGGAGCUGGGGCGGUCGUUCUACGGGACGUGCCGGAGGGAACCACGGCCGUCGGGAACCCCGCGAAGGCGGUCGGGAAGAAGGCGGUGCCGCAGCGGCGGCCGGAAGAGCAGCCCGGGGUGACCAUGGAGCAAGGGUGGUCGGACUACGUGAUUUGAAAAUUUUCAGAGGGUCCGGGUGCAAAUAUUUUUAGUGCAGGAGAAGGAGAGUUUCCCUCCAAAAGAUAUUCGUGGUCGAUGGCCAUUUCCGCUAUUCUGUAAUAGUGCUGCUAUUGCAGUAUUGCCUACACUAGAGACUACAGAGAGAGCUGCAUUCCCAUAUGCCAUUGCAUAAGAGGGAGAGGGAGCUCAAUUAGGCAUUGAGCCCUAGAGCAAGUCCAUGUUUUUUCUGUUCUUUUUUCCUCUGUUUCUCGGGACUUAAUAACAAUACUAUAUGCAUCUCAUUAGUUAUCGGUUGCUUGUACAUAUACUUCAAGCUAUAUUGUGUCUGUAUGUUUCGUUUCUCCUCCUAAACCAAAAAAGUUCCGUGCAGGGGUUUUGCUAUUUUCAGAUGCCUGAGAAAUAGCAUUUGUUCAGACAAUGGCUAUGAGUCAUGAGAUGAAGAUGUAACGGAUCAGAUGUACGAAUCUUGAAGUAAGAUCAAAGGAUCACGUUAUCGUCUAAACCAAAGACAGAUCAGACACCUGCUUUUUUUAGGAAAAGCGAGGAAAGCCUCUGUCCUUCAGGGGGACUUUAUAGUUUAUACAGUAGUGUUCAAGUACAAACUCUUUGAGCAAGUAGAGGAUGAAUAUGUUCUGUAGGUUGUCAGCCGGUGGAUGAACGGAUUCUGUAAGAACAUCUCGAUAGUUUGAUUCUUGGAAGGGCUGCUUCAAACAAAGCAGAGCAUAAACUACCGUAACCACAUCUGAAAAUUGACUGGCCAGCAAUAAAUCAGCUGUUCCAUCGCGACUUGGACGGCUUGUCUUGGCCCAAACAAAAUCAGCAGCAGCAUUUCCGCAUUUAAAUUGGGGAAACAAAUAAUUGACGUGAGGUUCUAACUUCUAAGCAGAGAGAUAAGUACAAUCUCCUAGUUGAGAAUCUUGGCGAAAGAGGUCAGCCUGGCCCCAAGUGGACGUGGCUGAUGGCUA